This 764-nucleotide ribosomal RNA is filed under the name uncultured Glomus. Its description in RNAcentral is "SSU rRNA". It matches the Rfam family "Eukaryotic small subunit ribosomal RNA", at positions 342 to 1108 of the family's 1831-position model. Lineage: Eukaryota; Fungi; Glomeromycota; Glomeromycetes; Glomerales; Glomeraceae. The record is from RNAcentral.
UACCAUGGUGGUAACGGGUAACGGGGUGUUAGGGCACGACACCGGAGAGGGAGCCUGGAAACGGGCUACCCCAUCCAAGGAAGGCAGCAGGCGCGCAAAUUACCCAAUCCCGACACGGGGAGGUAGUGACAAUAAAUAACAAUACAGGGCUCUUUUGGGUCUUGUAAUUGGAAUGAGUACAAUUUAAAUCUCUUAACGAGGAACAAUUGGAGGGCAAGUCUGGUGCCAGCAGCCGCGGUAAUUCCAGCUUCAAUAGCGUAUAUUAAAGUUGUUGCAGUUAAAAAGCUCGUAGUUGAAUUUCGGAAUCAAUAUGUCGGUCGUGCUUCGGUACGUACUGGUAUCAUUGGUUUCUCCUUUCUGACGAACCAUGAUGUCAUUAAUUUGGUGUUAUGGGGAGUUAGGACUGUUACUUUGAAAAAAUUAGAGUGUUUAAAGCAGGCUUUAGCUUGAAUACAUUAGCAUGGAAUAAUGAAAUAGGACGUUCGAACCUAUUUUGUUGGCUUCUAGGAUCGACGUAAUGAUUAAUAGGGAUAGUUGGGGGCAUUAGUAUUCAAUUGUCAGAGGUGAAAUUCUUGGAUUUAUUGAAGACUAACUACUGCGAAAGCCUUUCCCAAGGAUGUUUUCAUUAAUCAAGAACGAAAGUUAGGGGAUCGAAGACGAUCAGAUACCGUCGUAGUCUUAACCAUAAACUAUGCCGACUAGGGAUCGGAUGAUGUUAAUUUUUUAAUGACUCAUUCGGCCCCUUACGGGAAACCAAAGUGUUU